Molecule: ribosomal RNA, 1427 nt
Filed under: uncultured bacterium
Lineage: Bacteria
Description: partial 16S ribosomal RNA
Rfam family: Bacterial small subunit ribosomal RNA
Source: RNAcentral
AGAGUUUGAUCCUGGCUCAGGAUGAACGCUGGCGGCGUGCCUAACACAUGCAAGUCGAACGGAGCCUUAACCAAAGAAGCAGCCAGCUUGCUGGAAGCGGAAAAGGGAAAGGCUUAGUGGCGGACGGGUGAGUAACGCGUGGGUAACCUGGCCCAUACAGGGGGAUAACACUUAGAAAUAGGUGCUAAUACCGCAUAACAACAGAAAGCGCAUGCUUUUUGUUUGAAAACCAAGGUGGUAUGGGAUGGACCCGCGUCUGAUUAGCUGGUUGGCGGGGUAAAGGCCCACCAAGGCGACGAUCAGUAGCCGGCCUGAGAGGGUGGACGGCCACAUUGGGACUGAGACACGGCCCAAACUCCUACGGGAGGCAGCAGUAGGGAAUCUUCCACAAUGGACGAAAGUCUGAUGGAGCAACGCCGCGUGAGUGAAGAAGGGUUUCGGCUCGUAAAGCUCUGUUGGUAGUGAAGAAAGAUAGAGGUAGUAACUGGCCUUUAUUUGACGGUAAUUACUUAGAAAGUCACGGCUAACUACGUGCCAGCAGCCGCGGUAAUACGUAGGUGGCAAGCGUUGUCCGGAUUUAUUGGGCGUAAAGCGAGUGCAGGCGGUUCAAUAAGUUUGAUGUGAAACCCCGGGGCUCAACCCCGGGCAUGCAUUGGAAACUGGCGGGCAGGAGUGCCGGAGAGGUAAGCGGAAUUCCUAGUGUAGCGGUGAAAUGCGUAGAUAUUAGGAGGAACACCAGUGGCGAAGGCGGCUUACUGGACUGUAACUGACGUUGAGGCUUGAAAGCGUGGGGAGCAAACAGGAUUAGAUACCCUGGUAGUCCACGCCGUAAACGAUGACUGCUAGGUGUCGGGGGACGACAGUGCCCCGGUGCCGCCGCAAACGCAGUAAGCAUUCCACCUGGGGAGUACGUUCGCAAGAAUGAAACUCAAAGGAAUUGACGGGGACCCGCACAAGCGGUGGAGCAUGUGGUUUAAUUCGAAGCAACGCGAAGAACCUUACCAAGUCUUGACAUCCCAAUGAAUGACAGGUAAAGCUGUCAGCCCUUCGGGGCAUUGGAGACAGGUGGUGCAUGGUUGUCGUCAGCUCGUGUCGUGAGAUGUUGGGUUAAGUCCCGCAACGAGCGCAACCCUUAUUGUCAGUAGCCAGCGGGUAGAGCUGGGCACUCUGAUGAGACUGCCAGGGAGAACCUGGAGGAAGGUGGGGAUGACGUCAAAUCAGCACGGCCCUUACGUCCGGGGCGACACACGUGUUACAAUGGGCGGUACAGCGGGAAGCCAGGCGGCGACGCCGAGCGGAACCCGAAAGCCGUUCUCAGUUCGGAUCGGAGUCUGCAACCCGACUCCGUGAAGCUGGAUUCGCUAGUAAUCGCGCAUCAGCCAUGGCGCGGUGAAUACGUUCCCGGGCCUUGCACUCACCGCCCGUCA